UAGGGAAUCUUCGGCAAUGGGCGACAGCCUGACCGAGCAACGCCGCGUGAGUGAAGACGGUCUUCGGAUUGUAAAGCUCUGUCAUGCGGGACGAGCGACAAGGAGAGGGCAUGCUCCUUGGGAGACGGUACCGCAGGAGGAAGCCCCGGCUAACUACGUGCCAGCAGCCGCGGUAAUACGUAGGGGGCAAGCGUUGUCCGGAAUGACUGGGCGUAAAGCGCGCGCAGGCGGUCUUUUGCGUCUGGGGUGAAAGGCAGGGGCACAACCCGUGCAGGGCCUUGGAAACGGGGAGACGUGAGGGUCGAGGAGGUCAGGGGAAUUCCACGUGUAGCGGUGAAAUGCGUAGAUAUGUGGAGGAAUACCAGUGGCGAAGGCGCCUGACUGGACGAAACCUGACGCUGAGGCGCGAAGGCGUGGGGAGCAAACAGG
Molecule: ribosomal RNA, 429 nt
Filed under: Chloroflexota bacterium
Lineage: Bacteria; Bacillati; Chloroflexota
Description: Chloroflexi bacterium partial 16S ribosomal RNA
Rfam family: Bacterial small subunit ribosomal RNA
Source: RNAcentral